UACGUAGGCAGCGAGCGUUGUUCGGAGUUACUGGGCGUAAAGGGUGUGUAGGCGGUCCUCUAAGUUUGGUGUGAAAUCUCCCGCUCAACCGGGAGGGUGCGCCGAAAACUGGGGGACUAGAGUGCGGUAGAGGUAGCUGGAAUUCCCGGUGUAGCGGUGAAAUGCGUAGAUAUCGGGAGGAAUACCUAUGGCGAAAGCAGGCUACUGGACCGUCACUGACUCUGAUCUGCGAAAGCUAGGGGAGCAAACAGG
This 252-nucleotide ribosomal RNA is filed under the name uncultured bacterium. Its description in RNAcentral is "partial 16S ribosomal RNA". It matches the Rfam family "Bacterial small subunit ribosomal RNA", at positions 524 to 776 of the family's 1533-position model. The record is from RNAcentral.